CCUACGGGAGGCAGCAGUGGGGAAUAUUGGGCAAUGGGUGCAAGCCUGACCCAGCAACGCCGCGUGAAGGAAGAAGGCUUUCGGGUCGUAAACUUCUUUUCUCAGGGACGAAGAAAGUGACGGUACCUGAGGAAUAAGCCACGGCUAAAUACGUGACAGCAGCCACGGUAAUUCGUGGGGGGCAAGCGCUAUCCGGCUUGAUUGGGUGUAAAGGUCGUGUAGGCGGGAGCGCAAGUCAGAUGCGAAAACUCAGGGCUCAACCCUGAGCCUGCAUUUGAAACUGUGUUUCUUGAGUGCUGGAGGGGCGAUCGGAAUUCCGUGUGUAGCGGUGAAAUGCGUAGAUAUACGGAGGAACACCAGUGGCGAAGGCGGAUUGCUGGACAGUAACUGACGCUGAGGCGCGAAAGCGUGGGGAGCAAACAGGAUUAGAUACCCCAGUAGUC
RNAcentral lists this ribosomal RNA (443 nucleotides) under uncultured bacterium. Its description in RNAcentral is "partial 16S ribosomal RNA". It matches the Rfam family "Bacterial small subunit ribosomal RNA", at positions 338 to 795 of the family's 1533-position model. The record is from RNAcentral.